GAUUGAUUUGUUUAUUUUAGGAAUUCAUUUAUUUAUUUAUUCGAAAUUUAUUUAUGUCAAAAAUCCUUUUUAGAAAAUUUCUUUGUUAACUUCAAUACUAUCACUUGAAAUUUCAAUCCAAUUAGAUAUCUUAUCGAAAACAAUGUAAAGAUGGUACAUAUACAUAAGUUUAUUGUUUUGGAAUUUGCAUUGUAAAACUGCUAACGACAGGUUUGUCCUCUCUUACCUAAAUCGAUUACAACAUCCGUUUGGAAAAUUCUCUACAUAAAAGGAUUUAAAAUUGAACAAUAAAUUUUAUUCGCUUACAGACAGAAAUUUUGUGGUUUAAAUCCAGAUACAUAAGAAAAGAAGGCAAAGAUUGUAUCCUUUUUUGAGGGAGGAUAAGUUUAGUAUGCUUGAAUUCAUUUCGAACCGAAAACAUAACAAAAUUCGGAUCAAGCUCUUGAUAUGAGAAUACUAUGUAUAUAUUAAAGAAAUGUUAAUUUGAGGUUAGCAACCUUUAAACUUGUGACAAAAAGAGCCCGAAGAUGCAUCAAUUGCUUGGUUGAAAAUUAAGGCAAUCAACAGAAUAUCAUAGCAAGGACUCGAAGGACUCUCUAUUUAAUAUUCUUUCUGAUAAAGUAACAAAAACCCUAUGGGUAUUUCCUGUCUGGGAAAAAUAUGUUUCGAUAUAUUUUCUCAAUUUUUAUUAUUCUCUCUGUGUAUGUUUAUUUGUUCAUUUAUUCUUGUAUCAUUUUUAUUUUUAUCCUAACACGAUUUGGGAUUAUUUAUAUUGCAUGAGCAGAACGUGAUUCUCUUUUUGGAAAUAAAUGUCAUUCGGGAUUUAGAUGUCAUCUCAAAAGCAGAGUAAAAGUAAAACCGACACAAGCACACAAGACACAACGGUGCUAAGAAAUGUUCAUAUUUGUUUGAAGCUACAACGGCAAACAAAAAUUUUAAGUGCGGUUCAGGUGGUCCUUUCUUGUCAGUUAAAAUUCUAGGUAGAAACAUAUGUUCA
Molecule: long non-coding RNA, 997 nt
Organism: Episyrphus balteatus (marmalade hoverfly)
Lineage: Eukaryota; Metazoa; Arthropoda; Insecta; Diptera; Syrphidae
Exons: 4
Source: RefSeq, a predicted model, not a curated record